GGGGAUGUUGAUCAGUGGUAGAGUGUGUGCUUUGCAUGUAUGAGGUUCUGGGAUCAAACCCUAGCAUCACCA
This 72-nucleotide transfer RNA is filed under the name Pangasianodon hypophthalmus (striped catfish). It matches the Rfam family "tRNA". From Rfam's summary of the family: Transfer RNA (tRNA) molecules are approximately 80 nucleotides in length. The record is from Rfam by way of RNAcentral. Lineage: Eukaryota; Metazoa; Chordata; Actinopteri; Siluriformes; Pangasiidae.